This 76-nucleotide transfer RNA is filed under the name Campylobacter blaseri. RNAcentral describes it as "tRNA-Glu". It matches the Rfam family "tRNA". From Rfam's summary of the family: Transfer RNA (tRNA) molecules are approximately 80 nucleotides in length. Their secondary structure includes four short double-helical elements and three loops (D, anti-codon, and T loops). The record is from RNAcentral. Lineage: Bacteria; Pseudomonadati; Campylobacterota; Epsilonproteobacteria; Campylobacterales; Campylobacteraceae.
GACCCUUUCGUCUAGUGGCCCAGGACAUUGCAUCCUCAAUGCAAAAACGGAAGUUCGAAUCUUUCAAGGGUCGCCA